This 253-nucleotide ribosomal RNA is filed under the name uncultured bacterium. RNAcentral describes it as "partial 16S ribosomal RNA". It matches the Rfam family "Bacterial small subunit ribosomal RNA", at positions 524 to 776 of the family's 1533-position model. The record is from RNAcentral.
UACGUAGGGUGCAAGCGUUACUCGGAAUUACUGGGCGUAAAGCGUGCGCAGGCGGUUUUGUAAGUCUGUCGUGAAAUCCCCGGGCUCAACCUGGGAAUUGCGAUGGAGACUGCAAGGCUAGAAUCUGGCAGAGGGGGGUAGAAUUCCAAGUGUAGCAGUGAAAUGCGUAGAGAUGUGGAGGAACACCGAUGGCGAAGGCAGCCCCCUGGGUCAACACUGACGCUCAUGCACGAAAGCGUGGGGAGCAAACAGG